UGGGGAAUAUUGGACAAUGGGCGCAACUCUGAACCAGCCAUGCCGCGUGCAGGAAGACGGCCCUCUGGGUUGUAAACUGCUUUUAUUCGGGAAUAAACCUAUCUACGUGUAGAUAGCUGAAUGUACCGAAGGAAUAAGGAUCGGCUAACUCCGUGCCAGCAGCCGCGGUAAUACGGAGGAUCCAAGCGUUAUCCGGAUUUAUUGGGUUUAAAGGGUGCGUAGGCGGCCUAUUAAGUCAGGGGUGAAAGACGGUAGCUCAACUAUCGCAGUGCCCUUGAUAUUGAUGGGCUUGAAUGAACUAGAGGUAGGCGGAAUGUGACAAGUAGCGGUGAAAUGCAUAGAUAUGUCACAGAACACCGAUUGCGAAGGCGACAUACUGGCUCAUUACUGACGCUGAGGCUCGGAAGCGUGGGGAGCAAACA
Molecule: ribosomal RNA, 422 nt
Filed under: uncultured bacterium
Lineage: Bacteria
Description: bacterial SSU rRNA
Rfam family: Bacterial small subunit ribosomal RNA
Source: RNAcentral